GUGGGGAAUAUUGGACAAUGGGCGAAAGCCUGAUCCAGCCAUGCCGCGUGUGUGAAGAAGGUCUUCGGAUUGUAAAGCACUUUAAGUUGGGAGGAAGGGCAGUAAGUUAAUACCUUGCUGUUUUGACGUUACCGACAGAAUAAGCACCGGCUAACUCUGUGCCAGCAGCCGCGGUAAUACAGAGGGUGCAAGCGUUAAUCGGAUUUACUGGGCGUAAAGCGCGCGUAGGUGGUUUUGUAAGUUGGAGGUGAAAUCCCCGGGCUCAACCUGGGAACUGCCUCCAAAACUGCAUGACUAGAGUACGGUAGAGGGUAGUGGAAUUUCCUGUGUAGCGGUGAAAUGCGUAGAUAUAGGAAGGAACACCAGUGGCGAAGGCGACUACCUGGACUGAUACUGACACUGAGGUGCGAAAGCGUGGGGAGCAAACAGGAUUAGAAACCCCUGUAGUCC
This 450-nucleotide ribosomal RNA is filed under the name uncultured bacterium. Its description in RNAcentral is "partial 16S ribosomal RNA". It matches the Rfam family "Bacterial small subunit ribosomal RNA", at positions 354 to 796 of the family's 1533-position model. The record is from RNAcentral.